This 923-nucleotide ribosomal RNA is filed under the name Halomonas sp. RNAcentral describes it as "bacterial SSU rRNA". The record is from RNAcentral. Lineage: Bacteria; Pseudomonadati; Pseudomonadota; Gammaproteobacteria; Oceanospirillales; Halomonadaceae.
GGCCUAACACAUGCAAGUCGAGCGGUAACAGGGGUAGCUUGCUACCCGCUGACGAGCGGCGGACGGGUGAGUAAUGCAUAGGAAUCUGCCCGRUAGUGGGGGAUAACCUGGGGAAACCCAGGCUAAUACCGCAUACGUCCUACGGGAGAAAGGGGGCUCCGGCUCCCGCUAUUGGAUGAGCCUAUGUCGGAUUAGCUAGUUGGUGAGGUAAUGGCUCACCAAGGCGACGAUCCGUAGCUGGUCUGAGAGGAUGAUCAGCCACAUCGGGACUGAGACACGGCCCGAACUCCUACGGGAGGCAGCAGUGGGGAAUAUUGGACAAUGGGGGCAACCCUGAUCCAGCCAUGCCGCGUGUGUGAAGAAGGCCCUCGGGUUGUAAAGCACUUUCAGCGAGGAAGAACGCCCGUCGGUUAAUACCCGGCAGGAAAGACAUCACUCGCAGAAGAAGCACCGGCUAACUCCGUGCCAGCAGCCGCGGUAAUACGGAGGGUGCAAGCGUUAAUCGGAAUUACUGGGCGUAAAGCGCGCGUAGGUGGCUUGAUAAGCCGGUUGUGAAAGCCCCGGGCUCAACCUGGGAACGGCAUCCGGAACUGUCAGGCUAGAGUGCAGGAGAGGAAGGUAGAAUUCCCGGUGUAGCGGUGAAAUGCGUAGAGAUCGGGAGGAAUACCAGUGGCGAAGGCGGCCUUCUGGACUGACACUGACACUGAGGUGCGAAAGCGUGGGUAGCAAACAGGAUUAGAUACCCUGGUAGUCCACGCCGUAAACGAUGUCGACCAGCCGUUGGGUGCCUAGAGCACUUUGUGGCGAAGUUAACGCGAUAAGUCGACCGCCUGGGGAGUACGGCCGCAAGGUUAAAACUCAAAUGAAUUGACGGGGGCCCGCACAAGCGGUGGAGCAUGUGGUUUAAUUCGAUGCAACGCGAA